This 1387-nucleotide ribosomal RNA is filed under the name metagenome. RNAcentral describes it as "bacterial SSU rRNA". It matches the Rfam family "Bacterial small subunit ribosomal RNA". The record is from RNAcentral.
AGAGUUUGAUCCUGGCUCAGGAUGAACGCUGGCGGCGUGCUUAACACAUGCAAGUCGAACGAACCUUCGGGUUAGCGGCGGACGGGUGAGUAACGCGUGGGAAUCUGCCCUCAGGAGGGGGAUAACGGCUGGAAACGGCCGCUAAUACCCCAUAUGUCGAGAGGUGAAAAGAAAUUCGCCUGAGGAUGAGCCCGCGUCUGAUUAGCUAGUUGGUGGGGUAAGAGCUCACCAAGGCGACGAUCAGUAGCUGGUCUGAGAGGAUGAUCAGCCACACUGGGACUGAGACACGGCCCAGACUCCUACGGGAGGCAGCAGUGGGGAAUUUUCCGCAAUGGGCGAAAGCCUGACGGAGCAACGCCGCGUGAGGGAUGAAGGCCUCUGGGCUGUAAACCUCUUUUCUCAAGGAAGAAGACAUGACGGUACUUGAGGAAUAAGCCACGGCUAAUUCCGUGCCAGCAGCCGCGGUAAUACGGGAGUGGCAAGCGUUAUCCGGAAUUAUUGGGCGUAAAGCGUCCGCAGGCGGCCCUGUAAGUCUGUCGUUAAAGCGUGGAGCUUAACUCCAUUUAAGCGAUGGAAACUACAGGGCUUGAGUGUGGUAGGGGCAGAGGGAAUUCCCGGUGUAGCGGUGAAAUGCGUAGAUAUCGGGAAGAACACCAGUGGCGAAGGCGCUCUGCUGGGCCAUAACUGACGCUCAUGGACGAAAGCCAGGGGAGCGAAAGGGAUUAGAUACCCCUGUAGUCCUGGCCGUAAACGAUGAACACUAAGUGUCGGGGGAAUCGACCCCCUCGGUGUCGUAGCCAACGCGUUAAGUGUUCCGCCUGGGGAGUACGCACGCAAGUGUGAAACUCAAAGGAAUUGACGGGGGCCCGCACAAGCGGUGGAGUAUGUGGUUUAAUUCGAUGCAACGCGAAGAACCUUACCAGGGUUUGACAUCCUGCGAAUCCCUUGGAAACGAGGGAGUGCCUUCGGGAGCGCAGAGACAGGUGGUGCAUGGCUGUCGUCAGCUCGUGUCGUGAGAUGUUGGGUUAAGUCCCGCAACGAGCGCAACCCACGUCUUUAGUUGCCAGCAUUCAGUUGGGCACUCUAGAGAGACCGCCGGUGAUAAACCGGAGGAAGGUGUGGAUGACGUCAAGUCAUCAUGCCCCUUACAUCCUGGGCUACACACGUACUACAAUGCUACGGACAAAGGGCAGCAAGCUCGCGAGAGUUAGCAAAUCCCAUAAACCGUGGCUCAGUUCAGAUCGUAGGCUGCAACUCGCCUACGUGAAGGAGGAAUCGCUAGUAAUCGCAGGUCAGCAUACUGCGGUGAAUACGUUCCCGGGCCUUGUACACACCGCCCGUCACACCAUGGAAGUUGGCCAUGCCCGAAGUCGUUACUCCAACCCGC